CGAAAUGCGAUAAGUAAUGUGAAUUGCAGAAUUCAGUGAAUCAUCGAAUCUUUGAACGCACCUUGCGCUCCUUGGUAUUCCUUGGAGCAUGCCUGUUUGAGUAUCAUGAAAUCUUCAAAGUAAAUCUUUUGUUAACUCAAUUGGUUUCUACUUUGGUAUUGGAGGUCUUUGCAGCUUCACACCUGCUCCUCUUUGUUCAUUAGCUGGAUCUCAGUGUUAUGCUUGGUUCCACUCGGCGUGAUAAGUUAUCUAUCGCUGAGGACACUGUAAAAGGUGGCCAAGGUAAAUGCAGAUGAACCGCUUCUAAUAGUCCAUUGACUUGGACAAUACUUUUAUCAUCUGAUCUCAAAUCAGGUAGGACUACCCGCUGAACUUAAGC
This 379-nucleotide unclassified non-coding RNA is filed under the name plant metagenome. RNAcentral's name for it is "partial contains 5.8S ribosomal RNA, internal transcribed spacer 2, and large subunit ribosomal RNA". The stretch from base 1 to 106 matches the Rfam family "5.8S ribosomal RNA", at positions 49 to 154 of the family's 154-position model. The record is from RNAcentral.